AUUGAACGCUGGCGGCGGGCUUAACACAUGCAAGUCGAACGAUGAUUAUCUAGCUUGCUAGAUAUGAUUAGUGGCGGACGGGUGAGUAACAUUUAGGAAUCUGCCUAGUAGUGGGGGAUAGCUCGGGGAAACUCGAAUUAAUACCGCAUACGACCUACGGGUGAAAGGGGGCGCAAGCUCUUGCUAUUAGAUGAGCCUAAAUCAGAUUAGCUAGUUGGUGGGGUAAAGGCCCACCAAGGCGACGAUCUGUAACUGGUCUGAGAGGAUGAUCAGUCACACCGGAACUGAGACACGGUCCGGACUCCUACGGGAGGCAGCAGUGGGGAAUAUUGGACAAUGGGGGCAACCCUGAUCCAGCCAUGCCGCGUGUGUGAAGAAGGCCUUUUGGUUGUAAAGCACUUUAAGCAGGGAGGAGAGGCUAAUGGUUAAUACCCAUUAGAUUAGACGUUACCUGCAGAAUAAGCACCGGCUAACUCUGUGCCAGCAGCCGCGGUAAUACAGAGGGUGCGAGCGUUAAUCGGAAUUACUGGGCGUAAAGCGAGUGUAGGUGGCUCAUUAAGUCACAUGUGAAAUCCCCGGGCUUAACCUGGGAACUGCAUGUGAUACUGGUGGUGCUAGAAUAUGUGAGAGGGAAGUAGAAUUCCAGGUGUAGCGGUGAAAUGCGUAGAGAUCUGGAGGAAUACCGAUGGCGAAGGCAGCUUCCUGGCAUAAUAUUGACACUGAGAUUCGAAAGCGUGGGUAGCAAACAGGAUUAGAUACCCUGGUAGUCCACGCCGUAAACGAUGUCUACUAGCCGUUGGGGUCCUUGAGACUUUAGUGGCGCAGUUAACGCGAUAAGUAGACCGCCUGGGGAGUACGGCCGCAAGGUUAAAACUCAAAUGAAUUGACGGGGGCCCGCACAAGCGGUGGAGCAUGUGGUUUAAUUCGAUGCAACGCGAAGAACCUUACCUGGUCUUGACAUAGUGAGAAUCUUUCAGAGAUGAGAGAGUGCCUUCGGGAAUUCACAUACAGGUGCUGCAUGGCUGUCGUCAGCUCGUGUCGUGAGAUGUUGGGUUAAGUCCCGCAACGAGCGCAACCCUUUUCCUUAUUUGCCAGCGGGUUAAGCCGGGAACUUUAAGGAUACUGCCAGUGACAAACUGGUGGAAGGCGGGGACGACGUCAAGUCAUCAUGGCCCUUACGACCAGGGCUACACACGUGCUACAAUGGUAGGUACAGAGGGUUGCUACACAGCGAUGUGAUGCUAAUCUCAAAAAGCCUAUCGUAGUCCGGAUUGGAGUCUGCAACUCGACUCCAUGAAGUCGGAAUCGCUAGUAAUCGCAGAUCAGAAUGCUGCGGUGAAUACGUUCCCGGGCCU
This 1355-nucleotide ribosomal RNA is filed under the name uncultured bacterium. Its description in RNAcentral is "bacterial SSU rRNA". It matches the Rfam family "Bacterial small subunit ribosomal RNA", at positions 28 to 1381 of the family's 1533-position model. The record is from RNAcentral.